AGAUUUUCGGUAGUGCGCUAUUUAUAAUUUUCGCAUUUAUUUGUGGAAUAUCGAUCUUGACCUUGAGAAUAUUUUAGCAAGUAUUUUGGUUUGACAUAUUAAUUACGAUUUUUACUUGUUAAUUAAAUCUCGCUUAUAUUAUGGCUUUGAGAAUAUUUUGAAGUAUGAGACACGUCAUUGAGUUUUAAUAUAAUUUCUUAUGAUGAUUUUCAAGUACGGUUGGGAAACGUACCAUUCGUAUGAUCUUGGGGAAGUUUAAUGGAUUUAAGUGAUUUCGUAUGUUUUUAGUCACCAUAAUAUAAGGUCGCUUAUAUUUCAUUACUAGCUAGCUUUAUUAGUGGUCCUCACCAUAGGUGAGUCGAACGCUUAGCGUGGGACGCUAUUAUAGCCUGGGAGACACCGAUCAGAUAUUAUUAUUUAUUGGUAGCUAGACGACCCACUAUCCGAAGAAGUAGGACCCGAAGUGGGCACCCGGUGUAUCUCAGGCAUACAGGGUGCAGACACCUCCGUCUGGGUCUGAGGCCACAGCUGCCUCGAGGAACGAGGGACGCUCGGCUGCCUCGAUGAAUGGGGCACCUCCGGCUGCCUCUGCGCCGUCUCCAGAAGGCUCGCACGUCUGGCUAUCAUCUGGCCCUGAAACGAUGUUUGAGGGUUGCUAGAGGUUCCCUUAAACGAUUCGGACCUUUGGCCCUUUGAACUCUUCUUCGAUCUAAAAUAGCCACUCAUCCUGUUUAAAAUAUUAAUUUGAAUGAAGGCUGAGGCAUGGGCGGAUACACUUAUUCAAUGUUGCUCGUUAAUUCAAGGCUGAGACAACAUUGAAAAAGUAAAAAUUCAAUCUUAUUUUGUCUUUAUUCUAUAAAAAAUAUUUUUGAAACCAUAUUUUUUUCAUUAUGUUCUUGCUUAAAUUUAAACACUUAAUAUAAUGUGAAAUAUAUAUAUUUUGAAAUUAUACUUGUUCAAAAAUAUGAAUUCAAUUAAAUAUAUAUAUUCAUCCAGAUUUGAUAUAGGUUUUUAUAUUUUAUAUUUUGUAUCUUAUGUUUAAAAAUUCGUACCCAGCCCACGAUGAAUGAAGUACCUAGUCAUGGAAUAUAACAAGUGCACAGUGCAAGCUUCAAGUUCAUUACCAACAAAGCAUAUGUUUAAAAAAUGAGGAUAAUUUAUCUCCUAAACAUAAAUUUGGGAACUUGGACAGUAAAACAUAAAGCAUGGCCUAAAAAUCAAUUCGAAAUCAAAAGUAAAAAAGAAGAAAAACGCUAACCUUGGAGACCGAGAGAGGGAGAGGGAGGAGGGAGGAGGGAGGAGGUGGAGACAGGGAGAGGGAGGGAGGAGGGAGGACACGGAGACCGGGAGAGGGAGGGAGGAGGGAGGAGGCGGAGACUGGGAGAGGGAGAGGGAGAGGAGGCGGAAAAGGAGGCUAGGGUUUUUCUGCUGGGUGUUCGUCUCUAAACCCGACAACUUUAGCCAACGAAAUUAUUAUUUCGUCGGCUAAAGAUACAAAUCUCGUCGGCUAAGAUAAAACUCGUCGGCUAAAACCUUUGAAAUUCGUCGGCUAAACAUUUGCAAUUCGUCUGCUAAACCUUUGAAAUUUGUCGGCUAAACCUUUGAAAUUCAUCGGCUAACAGUUGAAAUUCGUCGGCUUAAGUACUUUUAUACAUUCGGCACAUUGUGAUUGUGAUGAUCAAACUUGAGAAACAAAAAUCCGACCGUCAGAUCUGACCAUCAUGACAAAAUACAUGUAUGGGAAAUAAUUCAACUUGAUCCGACAAGGUUAAGGGCUCGAUCCGGACGGUCAAUCCCGUAAGUCAAACCCCUAAAUGCACGGAAAAGGCCGUUGGACCGUCUAAAUUUCGUAUUUUGGCCGGACCUUCAACUGAAAAUAGUUUCAAAUCGAUGAGACGCAACAAGUCAUAUAAAAAUUUUACGCAAAAUAACCACCGAAGAUAGGGCUACUCAUAGGGAGAAAGAAUCAAAAAUUGCAUUGACCGCAACUAUCGGCACCGAAUCUUUACCGGAAUACCGUGAUUUUUCAACCGUGGAUGUAUUUCACCAUUCUGGUCAUAUCUUAUUUCACGACUUUUUUGCAUUUGAAGAUUUUACGCAUAGUUUGUUUUUGAAACGGAACAUUUACUUAAAACACUUGGUAAACAAGUUAUACAACAUUAGUAGGCAUGUUGUGAUUGUGAUGAUAAAACUUGACAAACAUAAAUCCGACCGUCAGAUCUGACCAUCAUGACAAAAUACAUGUAUGGGAAAAAAUUCAACUUGAUCCGACAAGGUUAAGGGCUCGAUCUGGACGGUCAAUCCCGUAAGUCAAACCCCUAAAAGCACGGAAAAUGUCGUUCGACGGUCUAAAUUAUGUAUUUUGGCCGGACGUCCAACUGAAAAUAGUUUCAAAAUGAUGAGACGCAAGAAGUCGUAUAAAAAUUUUACGGAAAAUAACCACCGAAGAUAGGGCUAUAGUACGCAGUAGAAAAAUUUUAGGUUUUAGCCGACGAAUACCCUAACACAUUCGUCAGCUAUAGUAUGUAAAUAAAAAAUUAAAAAGUAACUAAAGCCGACUAAAUAUUAGGUUAAUCGUCGGCUAAAACCAUCUUAGCCGACGAAAUAUACUAUAUUUCAUCGGCUAAGAUGGUUUUAGCUGACGAAUUAUAGUGUAAUUCAUCGGCUAAAAUAGUUUUAGCCGAUGAAUUAUGGUGUAUUUCGUCGGCUAAAGUAAAAAAACACAUUAAAAAAACAGAAGGUUUUAGUUGUCACAUCCCGGUUCUUAAGUCAAUUUGCGGUUAUUUACUUUUGGGUUACUUUGGCUUUUACCGUUUUGAGUAACCGUUUACUAUUUAAGGCUCCAAAAGUUGACUUUUUCUUUCGUCUAAAAUUUGGAAAAACUUUCUUCAUGAAAGUCGUAGAAGACGUUAAGCGGAGUUCGUAGACGCGUGGCAUGCUUAAAUAGGAGUUCGUAUGAAUAAGUUAUGGUCUAAAAACAAAAGUUACUAUUUUGGUUGGGGUAUAAAAAUGGAAACUUACCGGAUGGGUAAGGUAAGAAAUCAGUUUCACCCCCCUCACUCUCUCUUCUCUCUCCCGCGCCUCUCCUCCGACCGGCAACUUCAUCACCUCCAUCCGCCGUCGUCCGGCCGAGCUAGGUGGCGUGCUUGGUAUCAAUUUGAAGCUUGGAGCAUCCUCUACAAGUCUAGGUAGGUGGCAGCCGGUGUCGCGCCGCCGUGAAGGAGAAAUCAUGCCGGAAAGCCGCGGCUGUGCGUGGUGGGGUUUUCGCCAGAAAAUCCCUUUUCCGGCCACCAUAGCCGGAGCUGUUGGUCUCAACUUGAAGCUCUCCCUCCCAGCAGCAAAACCCUAAAAGGAUUCAUCCUAACUCGAGCUAGGUAAGGAGAAUCAAAGGUUUGAAUCUUCUAGGGUUCUUGAUUGUGUUUUUGUUCGAUUGACAUGUUUAAGCUUGAAAUUGGACUUAGUGAUAAUUAUGAAAGUUGUUUGGGAUGUUGAGAGGAAGAUGUUGUUAAAAUUUGGUAGCCAUUAGGGGUCGCCGGCCGCCGCUGCCGGCGGAGCAGACGGCGGCGCCGCCGUUGUAAGGGGGCUUUUCAGGGUUUUAAAUGUGUUAUGUUAAGGGGAGUUUAAUGAUGUGAAGUUUGGAAUUUUUGGAGGAGUUUUGAUAAGGUUUGGGAUUUUUAAAAGAUUAAGGAUUUUUCCGGUUAUUAGAAUAAAAAUCCGGCCGUUGGAUUUCCUUGGUAUUUUUUUAUAGAAUGUUAGAAUUGAUGAAUUAAGGUUGUGGUGGAGUUUGGUGCGAAUCCGGCGAGUUUAACCCUAUUAAGAGUAGUGGGUUAAACAGAAGAGAGUUGGAUGUUUUUAUUCAUGUAUUUAUUUUCUGGAAUUGAAGUUUGGUUCUAAGCAUGGUUGUUGUGCCAGGAUGCGAAGGGAACCUCUCUUGAGUGGCGAUGCGGUUAUGGUUGGGCUUAUGCCUAAAGUUGUGAGUGGACAUUUUGGUUUAAUUAAAUAUGCAUGCAAGAUUUUAUAAAUUAUCAUUUUAUUUUUCCGAGCAUAUAUUAUCAUUUUCGGCUCAUGAGAUGAUCUUGAAAAUUAUUUGAGUGUGAUGCAUUGAUUAACGUUUGGUCAUGAUUUAUGGAUUUAAGCUCGGAUUAUUAAUUUGAUAUUUGAGUUUGGUUAUUUUAUAAGUUUCGGAUUUCAUUGUGAUUGAUUUAAUGGUGACUUUGGGAUUAAUAAAUGAUUACCGAAAAUGGGAUUUUCGGUAGUUCUCCAUCAUAAUUUAAUUGUUUAUUUGAGGCAUAAUGAUUUUGACUUGGAGAUUAUUUUAGCGAGUAUUUUCGAGUGGAGAUAUUGUUAUUUAUGAUUUAUGUUUGAUAUUGAAAUCUCGCUUAUAAUAUGGUUUCGAGAAUAUUUUGACGUGUGAGACACGUCAUUGAGUUUUAGUAUAAUUUCUUAUGAUGAUUUUCAAAUACGGUUGGGAACCGUACCAUUCAUUUGAUAUUGGGGAAGUUUAAUGGAUUUAAGUGACUUCGUAUGAUUUUAGUCACCAUAAUAUAGGGUCGCUUUUAUAUUGAUUAUUGCUAGCUAAUCUUAUUAGCGGUCCUCAUCAUAUGUGAGUUGAGCACUUAGCGUGGGAUGCUAUUAUAGCCUUAUUUAGUGGUCCUCAUCAUAUGUGAGUUGAGCACUUAGCGUGGGACGCUAUUUUAGCCUAGGAGGCAUCGACCCGAGCCUGGGAGGCUCUUUUUUUUCGUGGUGAUAACUCUUCCCCUUAUUUAUUCUUCUCAAUAAUAUAAUUGAUUAACCAGCGGGGCUGGUUUAUCUUCUCGUAUGAGAUUUCUAUUUUAAUUAACCAGCGGGGCUGGUUUGUCCUUUAUUAAAUGAUUUUGGAUUUAAAGUUUUAAGGAUAUUUAAGUUCCAUGCUGUUAAGUUUUAAAAGUUGAAAAAUGGGAAAGUAUAAAAGUUUUAUAAUUAAGUUAUUGAAUUUAUUUUUCGUCCACUCACUCUAACGUUUUUAAAUGCCCAGUUUGCAGGCUAAGUUAAUUGAGGUUGAGCGUACAUGAAGUCGAGGUAUAGUCAGAGGCUGCUUCCGCUUAAUCUUUAUUUAUUGUUAUUCUUUCAUUACUAGAUAUGCUUUGAUAACUUGUUAGUGAAGAAAUGAUGUCUUUGUUGUUGGUUGUGGAAUUCCCGAAGUUUAGUAUUUAAU
RNAcentral lists this long non-coding RNA (5194 nucleotides) under Fragaria vesca (wild strawberry). Its description in RNAcentral is "long non-coding RNA (FVES_LNC000423)". The record is from RNAcentral. Lineage: Eukaryota; Viridiplantae; Streptophyta; Magnoliopsida; Rosales; Rosaceae.